UGCUAUGCCUUGUCCAUUCCAAUCUGGACAGUCUCUGUGCCCCUCCUUUCCACUCAAGUGUUAUCCAGCACUCAAGUUCUGGCUCAAGGCCCAACAUCUCCGUGGGGACCUCAGCCAUCCCAGGGCAUUGUGACCCCUUCCUCUAAGUCCCCGGCACACUCGCUGAUUGGUACCCUCUCAUUCGACAAAGCAUAUGCCAUUGUGGCUUACUUGUCAUUUCUUUAGGUCUUGCCUUCCCAAGUAGAUCAUGAGCCACUAUAAGAACUAGCUCCCAUAGUCCCAGCCCCUGGGCCUGGUACAUGGCAAUGCUUAGUGAUUGGUGAUUGAGGAUAAUGGUGGUAAAGGAUGUACCAGACAGUCAUCUCCUGAAGAGAUGCCGAACAACCUGUCCUUGUUUUAUGUAUUUUCUCUUUCUUUCCUGUCCAGUUUUAUUCCUCUCAUAGUAACUGCUAAAAAAAUAUCAGUUCCUGUCACUCUUCCACCCCUUUUCUCCCUCUCCCCUGCAUUGUGGUCUGGGCCUUGGUCCACUAGCAACUCCCCUUAGGUGUUGCUUAAUCUGCCUCAUGGCCAAAGCCAAUCCCAUUCCUGUCCCCCGCUACCCAAGGGACUCCCAGUCUGUAUGCACAAGGCGGGAUGUGAAGUCUGGAUGUGCAAGAAACCCAGCUGUAAGAAACAGCUUCCCUCGGCUUGGCAUGGUGGCUCAUGCCUAUAUUCCCAGCACUUUGAGAGGUCAAAGUGGGAGAAUCACUUGAGCCCAGGAGUUCAGGACUAGCCUGGGCAACAUAGCAAGAUCCCACCUCUACAAAAAAAGAAAAAAUUCAGAGUCUCAAAUGUCCCUUCAUCUCCUUACUCUCGACCUGUCUCCCUAGUUCUCUGCCGCCUUUUCCUCUCCCCUGGAUCUGACACUCAAUUGUCUGCAUGCACUUUUCAACUGAAAGAGACUCCAAUGCCAUCCUUCUGAUGAAAUUUUUGCUUUGGAUACUACUGCAGAAAAAAUGCUAUCUUGUAUUCUGGUCCAUGGUGGGGAAGACCCUGUCGUAGAACCUGGCAACUCAAGUGGAGGGAGGGGCCAGAACAUUGUUCUUAUGCUAUUUACAGUGAGACAACAGGAUUGAUGCAGAACUUUCUUUUUUUUUUUUUUUUUUUGAGACAGAGUUUCAUUCUUGUUGCCCAGGGCUGGAGUGCAGUGGCAUGAUCUCAGCUCACUGCAACCUCCACCCCCCAGGUUCAAGCAGUUCUUCCUCAGCCUCCGGAGUAGCUGGGAUUACAGGCGUGCGCCACCACGCCCCACUAAUUUUUGUAUUUUUGGUAGAGACGGGGUUUCACCAGUGUUGGCCAGGCUGGUCUCGAACUCCUGACCUCAGGUGAUCCACCCACCUCGGCCUCCCAAAGUGCUGGGAUUACAGGCAUGAACCACCGUGCCCGGCCGUGAUGCGCAACUUUCUAAUAACAUACUUUUGAAAGUGCCCAGACAUACAUCCCUCCUCUGGUACCACAGUGGCCAUCAGUUGCCAGAGAACAUGAAAUUAUCCAGCCCUCAGCUCUGCAGCAGGAUUCUGAGGAGUAAAGCAGGCCUGUAAAGUACUCUAAAGUACUUCAGAGAGGUAAUGCCACAAAGCGAAGAACACCUCUUGGAGGCAGAGCCCCUCAGCCCUAUCCAGGCCAGCAGUGUCCACUUGAAAUCUGAAAGCAGCCUCCCUCACCAAACCAGCAAGAUGGAAAACCUCCCUGGGUUGGCAAGUGGCCCUGGGAAGUACAUGCCCCAUCUCUGUCAGGAUAGCAGUGGAGAGGUUUCGUGCCAGUGCCAGCUCCACCCACCCAGAUGGUACUCAAGACUCCAAGCCUGUCAAUGGGGUGGAAACUUUCUGGCAUUUUCUGUCAGAAGGGUGAGUUAGCACUGAACCAUCUCAUGUGUCUUUUCACUGAGUAACAGCCCAUAUCCAUUCCAUGAAAUGAGUGACUGCUUUGUUGAAUCAGAUAGUAACAAACAUUUAUUUGUAGUCUGGUUGUGUCAUAUCAUGGUUGAAUUGCAAACAGGUUGGAUAGAAGAGUCAGCAAAAAUCAACAAAAGCAUUCUGUAAAAAACUUUUCUAGAAUUACAAUAAAUGGCAUUGUAUAUU
RNAcentral lists this long non-coding RNA (2120 nucleotides) under Homo sapiens (human). RNAcentral describes it as "non-protein coding lnc-RBM28-3:2". The record is from RNAcentral. Lineage: Eukaryota; Metazoa; Chordata; Mammalia; Primates; Hominidae.